UACGUAGGGUGCAAGCGUUAAUCGGAAUUACUGGGCGUAAAGCGUGCGCAGGCGGUUUUGUAAGUCUGACGUGAAACCCCCGGGCUCAACCUGGGAAUGGCGAUGAAGACUGCAAGGCUUGAAUCUGGCAGAGGGGGGUAGAAUUCCACGUGUAGCAGUGAAAUGCGUAGAGAUGUGGAGGAACACCGAUGGCGAAGGCAGCCCCCUGGGUCAAGAUUGACGCUCAUGCACGAAAGCGUGGGGAGCAAACAGG
Molecule: ribosomal RNA, 253 nt
Filed under: uncultured bacterium
Lineage: Bacteria
Description: partial 16S ribosomal RNA
Rfam family: Bacterial small subunit ribosomal RNA
Source: RNAcentral